AACGAACGCUGGCGGCAUGCCUAACACAUGCAAGUCGAACGAGACCUUCGGGUCUAGUGGCGUACGGGUUCGUCACGCGUGGGAACCUGACCUUAGGUUUGGCAUAACUCUCCGAAAGGGGUGCUAAUACCGGAUAAUGUCUUCGGCCCAAAGAUUUAUCGCCUUUGGAUGUGCAAGCGUUGGAUUAGCUCGUUGGUAGGGUAAAAGCCUACCAAGGCGACGAUCCAUAGCUGGUCUGAGAGGAUGAUCAGCCGCACUGGGACUGAGACGCGGCCCAGACUCCUACGGGAGGCAGCAGUGGGGAAUAUUGGACAAUGGGCUAAAGCCUGAUGCAGCAAUGCCGCGUGAGUGAUGAAGGCCUUAGGGUUGUAAAGCUCUUUUACCCGGGAUGAUAAUGACAGUACCGGGAGAAUAAGCUCCGGCUAACUCCGUG
Molecule: ribosomal RNA, 433 nt
Filed under: uncultured bacterium
Lineage: Bacteria
Description: partial 16S ribosomal RNA
Rfam family: Bacterial small subunit ribosomal RNA
Source: RNAcentral